Nymphaea colorata (pocket water lily) is the source of this 1625-nucleotide RNA transcript. RefSeq lists it as uncharacterized. Lineage: Eukaryota; Viridiplantae; Streptophyta; Magnoliopsida; Nymphaeales; Nymphaeaceae. The transcript has 2 exons. The record is from RefSeq and is a predicted model, not a curated record.
CAUGGAAAGCCAUCGUUGGCUCCGCUAGGCUUGUAAUGGCCUGGCCUGAAUGAAAGUCUGUGAAUCCUGUUCGUGUCGCGGUCAUGAACAUGCCAUUGUCUCUGCAGAUUCGUUUGAGAAUUGGAUUGGCUUAACAUGCCCUUGACUUUAACCAACUCGAUUCCGACCGUCGUGGUUUCCACAAUUCACACCUGAUCCUUGCUGUGGCAAGCCGCGAGCCCUCGAACGGGGAAGGGAAUGAGAAGGGGAAAGGGAAAGAAAGCCACCGGCGGUGCUGAUUCUGCGCCUAUCCCUGAAUGGGCAGAGCCGAUGAACGGGAGCCACGUCGAUGAGGUGGAGGAACUCCUCCGCGUCGCUCAGGAUGACGUCUUCCUUCGCCUGAACGUCAAUUCCCAUCGUCUCCAUUCUUCCUCUUCUGGUCUGGACGCCGAUCUCGAUCGAAGAUUUGCGGCACUAAAAGUCCCGUCCGCGCAAAAACCUAAUCCCUCCGCAGCGUGUAAUGAAUCGGAGGAAAAGCGUGGUCAAAUUGGGGACGGGAAGUCGGGCGACGUCUUCGGUGCGGAGCUAUCUGCCAGGUUCUUAGCUCUAAAGGGUCCGAUGAAAGGGGAAGCAGAUGUGGCAAUGAAGCAGCCCAUGGAUUCGUUAUCGGUGGCUGCUGGCAAUGGUUGUGGCGAAGACGAGGACUUCGACAGCGAGGUGCAGAAGUUGUUGGAGUGGGCAAAGGACGCAGCUCGUCUUGAUUCUUCUCGAAGUGAUGAAGAGGAUGAGGGUAGCGAUGGUGACGAUGACGAUGACGAUGACGAAAGCGAUGAUGAUAGAGCUGAGAGUAAAAUGAAGGUAGAAGUUGGGAAGAAAGAGAAGCGUAAACAAUGAAGAAUAAUUUUUUCGGUUGAAGAGAAAUCGUGACUCGAUUGCUAUCUGUAGAGGGUGAGAGCCUGUGCAGGGUUAACUCUGGGACACACUGGGACAAUGAAGUUUAUUUUAAGUGCCGACUUGAUAGCUUUUACCAGCAAGUGUAAUUUUUAUUAGAGAAGUUGUGAAAUAAACUGGAUGAUCCUGGACUACUGCAGAAUAACCAUUGUGCUUACUUUCAAACGAGAAGGGCUAAAGAUAAAGAGCACCACGGAUCUGUAUCACUCAAGUUGUUUGAUUGGCGCUCAGUCAAGUGGAAGAGCCGGAUACAUCCGAUCCGUCAUGCUUUAGCAGUUGGCAGUCUGGUGAGCCAAGGUCACAGUAGAGAAGGAUGAACGAGUUUGUUGGGGAAAGGAUGGUGAGAUUUGUCCACCUUCGAUGUUGCCAAAAUUGUUAUGCCAAAGAGAAGCAUGAGGGUUGCCUGGAAGUUCUGUGCCGACGUAAGCAGAUGUGUCACCCUCCUUCCCCAUUUGCUCAGAUCUGUCCUUUACUGUGCUACCCACUGCUUCUCUGGCUAUGAUCAAUCUGAUGAACUUUUCAAAUUUGUGGACAUUGUUAAUGGCUUUAUAUAAUAAAAAGGACUACUCGCCUCGCCACUGAUCGGAGUGAUGUGUCUGUGGCUGCCAUACUUUGGUGCAAACCGGCGGGCAGAAACUUCCUCCACUUGUCUUUUUUUUUUUUUUUUUUUUGGGAAUUCUUUGCAUAAUUUUCAU